This 298-nucleotide unclassified non-coding RNA is filed under the name plant metagenome. RNAcentral describes it as "partial contains 5.8S ribosomal RNA, internal transcribed spacer 2, and large subunit ribosomal RNA". The stretch from base 1 to 105 matches the Rfam family "5.8S ribosomal RNA", at positions 50 to 154 of the family's 154-position model. The record is from RNAcentral.
GAAAUGCGAUAAGUAAUGUGAAUUGCAGAAUUCAGUCAAUCAUCGAAUCUUUGAACGCACAUUGCGCCCCCUGGUAUUCCGGGGGGCAUGCCUGUUCGAGCGUCAUUUCACCACUCAAGCCUCGCUUGGUAUUGGGCAACGCGGUCCGCCGCGUGCCUCAAAUCGACCGGCUGGGUCUUCUGUCCCCUAAGCGUUGUGGAAACUAUUCGCUAAAGGGUGCUCGGGAGGCUACGCCGUAAAACAACCCCAUUUCUAAGGUUGACCUCGGAUCAGGUAGGGAUACCCGCUGAACUUAAGC